AACAUGGCUCUUUGAGAUUUAUAUAUAAAGAGUCUGGCCUGCCCAGUGAUGUAUUUUUAACGGCCGCGGUACUCUGACCGUGCGAAGGUAGCAUAAUCAUUUGCCCUAUAAUUGAGGGCUAGUAUGAAUGGUUUGACAUGAGCAUAACUGUCUCCUUAAAAUUUUAUAAAAUUUGGUUUUUAGGUGAAGAAACCUAAAUUAAAUUGAAAGACAAGAAGACCCUAUCGAGCUUUAGAAUAAUUAGUUAAAAAAUAUAAAUAAAACAAUUAAUUUUAAUUAAAAACUUUGGUUGGGGCGACUGAGGAACAUAUAAAGCUUCCUUAAUUAAACAAUGCUGAUAAGCAAUGAUCCAGGAAAUCUGAUUAAAAAAAUUAGUUACCGUAGGGAUAACAGCAUAAUCUUUUUUGAGAGCUCUUAUCGAAAAAAAGGUUUGUGACCUCGAUGUUGGACUAGGAUAUCCUAAAGAUGUAGAAGUCUUUAAUGGUUGCUCUGUUCGAGCAUAAAAAUCCUACGUGAUCU
Molecule: ribosomal RNA, 519 nt
Filed under: Oncomelania hupensis hupensis
Lineage: Eukaryota; Metazoa; Mollusca; Gastropoda; Littorinimorpha; Pomatiopsidae
Description: partial large subunit ribosomal RNA
Rfam family: Bacterial large subunit ribosomal RNA
Source: RNAcentral